UGAGUAACACGUAGGUAACCUGCCCCGGAGCGGGGGAUAACAUUUGGAAACAGAUGCUAAUACCGCAUAACAACAAAAGCCACAUGGCUUUUGUUUGAAAGAUGGCUUUGGCUAUCACUCUGGGAUGGACCUGCGGUGCAUUAGCUAGUUGGUAAGGUAACGGCUUACCAAGGCGAUGAUGCAUAGCCGAGUUGAGAGACUGAUCGGCCACAAUGGAACUGAGACACGGUCCAUACUCCUACGGGAGGCAGCAGUAGGGAAUCUUCCACAAUGGGCGCAAGCCUGAUGGAGCAACACCGCGUGAGUGAAGAAGGGUUUCGGCUCGUAAAGCUCUGUUGUUGGAGAAGAACGUGCGUGAGAGUAACUGUUCACGCAGUGACGGUAUCCAACCAGAAAGUCACGGCUAACUACGUGCCAGCAGCCGCGGUAAUACGUAGGUGGCAAGCGUUAUCCGGAUUUAUUGGGCGUAAAGCGAGCGCAGGCGGUUGCUUAGGUCUGAUGUGAAAGCCUUCGGCUUAACCGAAGAAGUGCAUCGGAAACCGGGCGACUUGAGUGCAGAAGAGGACAGUGGAACUCCAUGUGUAGCGGUGGAAUGCGUAG
RNAcentral lists this ribosomal RNA (600 nucleotides) under Limosilactobacillus reuteri. Its description in RNAcentral is "bacterial SSU rRNA". It matches the Rfam family "Bacterial small subunit ribosomal RNA", at positions 107 to 693 of the family's 1533-position model. Lineage: Bacteria; Bacillati; Bacillota; Bacilli; Lactobacillales; Lactobacillaceae. The record is from RNAcentral.